Molecule: ribosomal RNA, 460 nt
Filed under: uncultured bacterium
Lineage: Bacteria
Description: partial 16S ribosomal RNA
Rfam family: Bacterial small subunit ribosomal RNA
Source: RNAcentral
CCUACGGGAGACAGCAGUGAGGAAUAUUGGUCAAUGGCCGGAAGGCUGAACCAGCCAUGCCGCGUGAAGGUCAGUGCCCUAUGGGCGUUAAACUUCUUUUGUGCGGGAGCAAUAAUGGUCACGUGUGGCCAGACGAGAGUACCGUACGAAUAAGCAUCGGCUAACUCCGUGCCAGCAGCCGCGGUAAUACGGGGGAUGCAAGCGUUAUCCGGAUUUAUUGGGUUUAAAGGGUGCGUAGGCUGUGAGGUAAGUCAGCGGUGAAAUGCCCCCGCUCAACGGGGUGAAGUGCCAUUGAUACUGCCUGGCUGGAAUGCGGAUGCAGUGGGAGGAAUGUGUGGUGUAGCGGUGAAAUGCAUAGAUAUCACACAGAACACCGAUUGCGAAGGCAUCUCACGAAUCCGCGAUUGACGCUGAUGCACGAAAGCGUGGGUAUCAAACAGGAUUAGAUACCCGUGUAGUC